AUUCCCGUGAUCCUGAAGAGUGAGGGGGGCAUCGGAGCGGACGGAGACGCUGAAGAGGGACUUCAGGAGCCUGAUCAAGACAGUGCGCAGCAUAUCGCCUGCAUGAUGAUCAUCGUGUCAGGACCACUUCCAACGUAUAGAUGAGGACAUGAAAGGUUCAGCAGACUUUUUGCUUUAAACGAAUGGUUAUAGUCAUGGUGUAAAGAACAGAAACUGCUUUUUGUUAAUAAUUGGAAUCUUUUCUGGGAGCGUCCUAGGCUUUUUAGAUCUCCUGUUGGACAACAUCUCCAGGACACUUCGCUCCAUAUGACUAGGCAGUUUGUGAAAACAGAUAAUCAAGAGAAGUCAGUUCCAGAUCCACCCUCCACACCAGACCUCUCUCUCACGAGGAUUGCUGUCUACUAGCAUAUUGUGUUCUUCAGCUCUUCAGACUUCGGUGGAUGCAGAUAUUACUCAGGGACAUGAACACUAUAAUAUUGCAAGAAUAGAGAAAGUAAGAAUUACUUAAGAUUUUAGAAUUUAAUGUUAAUUGCUUAAACAUAUAUAUAUUUACAUAUAUUUUUGUGGCAGUGUGAACUGGCCAUAAUGCUGUAUGAUAGGUGUGAGAUUCAUUAAACUUGAUUUGCUAUCUGUUCAUAAGCUAUUGCAUAUUAUUUGCAAUGAAUUAUUUGUAGUGGUUUGGUUAAGGGUGUGAUAGCUGAAGAUUAUUGUGGGAGCUUGUGAUUAGUUGAUGAAUGUGUGUAUUGUUAAUGAUAAUAUUUAAAUGCAAUGUGCUGAGUGCCUACUAAGACUUGCAUGUUUGUGCAUAAUGUUUUGACCCUGGAUGCUUACAGAAGGGUAUUGAUAUUUCAAUAUAUGGAAAUGUAUGUAUUAUUAAUAUAUCUCAAUCUAUGUGCUUCUGUAUGGGAUGAAUGCUUUCAUUCAUAUUUCGCUGUAUAUUCUGUUUUUAUUAAUAAUCUGGGUGUAUUACUGUUCAUAUUUGCUUGUUAAUAAAUUAACUGAAUUCAUUUCGAGUAUGUAUUCAUCAUUCACAGCUGCUGAAACAUCCUUUAAAUUAGUUUGGGCAUAUGAGGACAUAAAUUAGGUUCAAGUGCUGCAUGUCCGCCCAUAGAAUAAUUAU
This is a long non-coding RNA of Carassius auratus (goldfish), 1120 nucleotides long. RefSeq lists it as uncharacterized. NCBI's taxonomy places the organism in Eukaryota, Metazoa, Chordata, Actinopteri, Cypriniformes, Cyprinidae. The transcript has 2 exons. The record is from RefSeq and is a predicted model, not a curated record.